This 457-nucleotide ribosomal RNA is filed under the name uncultured bacterium. Its description in RNAcentral is "bacterial SSU rRNA". It matches the Rfam family "Bacterial small subunit ribosomal RNA", at positions 34 to 507 of the family's 1533-position model. The record is from RNAcentral.
CGCUGGCGGCGUGCCUAACACAUGCAAGUCGAGCGAAUGAAGUUCCUUCGGGGAUGGAUUUAGCGGCGGACGGGUGAGUAACACGUGGGCAACCUGCCUCAUAGAGGGGAAUAGCCUUCCGAAAGGGAGAUUAAUACCGCAUAAGAUUGUAGUAUCGCAUGAUACAGCAAUUAAAGGAGCAAUCCGCUAUGAGAUGGGCCCGCGGCGCAUUAGCUAGUUGGUGAGGUAACGGCUCACCAAGGCGACGAUGCGUAGCCGACCUGAGAGGGUGAUCGGCCACAUUGGGACUGAGACACGGCCCAGACUCCUACGGGAGGCAGCAGUGGGGAAUAUUGCACAAUGGGGAAACCCUGAUGCAGCAACGCCGCGUGAGUGAUGACGGCCUUCGGGUUGUAAAGCUCUGUCUUCAGGGACGAUAAUGACGGUACCUGAGGAGGAAGCCACGGCUAACUACGUG